This 74-nucleotide transfer RNA is filed under the name Thermoleophilia bacterium. RNAcentral describes it as "tRNA-Ile". It matches the Rfam family "tRNA". Rfam says of the family: Transfer RNA (tRNA) molecules are approximately 80 nucleotides in length. Their secondary structure includes four short double-helical elements and three loops (D, anti-codon, and T loops). Further hydrogen bonds mediate the characteristic L-shaped molecular structure. tRNAs have two regions of fundamental functional importance: the anti-codon, which is responsible for specific mRNA codon recognition, and the 3' end, to which the tRNAs corresponding amino acid is attached (by aminoacyl-tRNA synthetases). tRNAs cope with the degeneracy of the genetic code in two manners: having more than one tRNA (with a specific anti-codon) for a particular amino acid; and 'wobble' base-pairing, i.e. permitting non-standard base-pairing at the 3rd anti-codon position. The record is from RNAcentral. RNAcentral also lists the same sequence under 5 other names. Lineage: Bacteria; Bacillati; Actinomycetota; Thermoleophilia.
GGGGCAGUAGCUCAGUUGGUCAGAGCAGCCGACUCAUAAUCGGUUAGACGGAGGUUCGAGUCCUCCCUGCCCCA